UAAAUAAACUUUUGCUUGUAUUUGAGUCUUCACUCUGAAUUCUUUCUUAGCCAGAACUCAAGUACUGAGGUUUUGGGCGG
Non-coding RNA from Eptesicus fuscus (big brown bat), 80 nucleotides. The record is from RefSeq and is marked provisional. Lineage: Eukaryota; Metazoa; Chordata; Mammalia; Chiroptera; Vespertilionidae.